GAUGAACGCUGACAGAAUGCUUAACACAUGCAAGUCUUUGGCGAAGCUGUGCUUGCACAGCCUAGCCAAGGCGGACGGGUGAGUAACGCGUAAGGAACUUGCCCUGCAGUCAGGGAUAACAGACGGAAACGACUGAUAAGACCUGGUAAAGUCAGGCGGACUCAUGUCCAGCCUGAUGAAAAGAGAUGCUGCAGGAGAGCCUUGCGCCCUAUUAGCUUGUUGGUGGGGUAACGGCCCACCAAGGCGAUGAUAGGUAGCCGGCCUGAGAGGGUGGACGGCCACAAGGGGACUGAGAUACGGCCCUUACUCCUACGGGAGGCAGCAGUGGGGAAUAGUGGACAAUGGGGGCAACCCUGAUCCAGCAAUUCUGUGUGCACGAUGAAGGUUUUCGGAUUGUAAAGUGCUUUCAGCAGGGAAGAAAAAAAUGACGGUACCUGCAGAAGAAGCGACGGCUAAAUACGUG
Molecule: ribosomal RNA, 463 nt
Filed under: uncultured bacterium
Lineage: Bacteria
Description: partial 16S ribosomal RNA
Rfam family: Bacterial small subunit ribosomal RNA
Source: RNAcentral